AUUGAACGCUGGCGGCAUGCCUUACACAUGCAAGUCGAACGUGAAAGCGGGGCAACCCGCAAGUAGAGUGGCGGACGGGUGAGUAAUACAUCGGAACGUGUCCAGUAAUGGGGGAUAACCUAGCGAAAGUUAGGCUAAUACCGCAUACGAUCUGCGGAUGAAAGCGGGGGAUGCGGCACUAAAGGCUUUUGGCGAAGGUGGCCAAAGGUGAGUCAAGAGCUUUUAGUGCNGCACCUCGCGUUAUUGGAGCGGCUGAUGUCUGAUUAGCUAGUUGGUGAGGUAAAGGCUUACCAAGGCGACGAUCAGUAGCUGGUCUGAGAGGACGGCCAGCCACACUGGGACUGAGACACGGCCCAGACUCCUACGGGAGCAGCA
Molecule: ribosomal RNA, 375 nt
Filed under: uncultured bacterium
Lineage: Bacteria
Description: bacterial SSU rRNA
Rfam family: Bacterial small subunit ribosomal RNA
Source: RNAcentral